GAAGAAAAAAGGGCAAAUCAAGCUAAAGGGGAAGAACUGGAAGCUCAUGUCACUGAUUCACGCAAGGAAAGAGGAGUCCAUGUUGCCAGAGAUUUAAUCGAGUUGAAUUUGUAAUUAUGUUGAAAUUGUUUUAACAAUUUGUGAGUUGAUUGAGGGAGAAAGUUGGGGGGAAAUUUCUUGAAUAAGUGUGGCGCAAUCUCACCAUAGAUAAAGGGAGAAGGGAAUUAUAUUAUUUCAUUCAUCCAUACUCUCUGAAAGAAAACUGGGAGUGAUCUCAGGCUUUUUGAAUGCCUGGUGUCAUCUCUCUUUUCCAUAUUACAUUGUUAAUUUCCUCUACAGUAUUAUUACUAUUAUCCAAUAUCAUAUCAUUUACAAUUCCACUAGUCACUGAAUUUCUGUUGAAAUACCUACAAUGACAAUUGCAUUCCUCAAUUCUGUAUUCCGGGUGGAAGCCUCCUAAUGUCAUAUGUGAAGUCAACUCAGUCAUUAUGCAAAAGUGGUAACAGAGGUCUUCUGUAAGAUACUGAUAUGGAUCAAAAAGGGACAAGGUCAAUAGAUUGUGGCCAAGGCCCCUACCAUAAAAUUCUAACACAAGUAUGCAUACAUCAAAAGAAAAGCAUUAGCAGCAGCAGCCCUAUGAACAAAGAGUUCUCCAAGACACUGAGAUGGAUCAAACAAGGACUAGGUUAACAGAUUGCGGCUGAGGCGAUAACAUAAAUAUUAACUAGUAUGAAUACAUGACAAGGGAAGCAGUAGCACCCAUACAAAACAUCCUGCAUAUUAUUACACCACAUCAAGUAUUAUCCCAAAGUCUAUUACCCUGCAUGGUGAAAAAAUUUUUCACGACUCAAAUUGCAAUUUUAAAAAGAAACUUCACAAGUCACAAACUCUAUGCACAUUUGCAUUUUUUAUUGUCCAAAACUAGAGAACUGUCUGUUAAUUAUAGCUUCUGGCAUCAAAGCUUCUUCUGAU
RNAcentral lists this long non-coding RNA (972 nucleotides) under Olea europaea subsp. europaea. Lineage: Eukaryota; Viridiplantae; Streptophyta; Magnoliopsida; Lamiales; Oleaceae. The record is from RNAcentral.